This is an RNA transcript of Vitis vinifera (wine grape), 1735 nucleotides long. RefSeq lists it as uncharacterized. The record is from RefSeq and is a predicted model, not a curated record. Lineage: Eukaryota; Viridiplantae; Streptophyta; Magnoliopsida; Vitales; Vitaceae. The transcript is spliced from 4 exons.
CCCAGAUCGGGGCAGUUCUCAGUUACCUCUUCGGCAGUGGACUUGGAGCCAUACCCACUUGCUCCGAAUGAGCCGAGGAGGUAUUUCAGAGCAUCAAGCAUUUGUCAAAGCUAAGAGGGAGACGUUAAAAAAAAAAAGAUUGGAAAGGUUUGGAAGGUGAUUCGUGAAGAGAAAGCGUGGAUUGGGAUGAGAUUUUAUAAUGGAUGGAGUGGAGAGUGGGGGAUUGGAUGUUUGUCAUUCAUUGACGAAGAUGAAAACCUUGCAUGAUUGGGGCGAAAGGGCCGAUAAAUGUGGGUGAAGAGUCCAAAGAAAACGACACCGUUUUGUUUCUGAGCCAUUUGAGAUUCAGAAGCAUAGUAGGUCGGACGGAGAAGGGUCGGCGAUUAAUUAAAUGCAACGGAAGCAAAGUACGAGCGUCGAUGCAGAGAGAUUGGAAUCGCGGAAAGGGAAUCGCACGUGAGGCUAGCGAUUCAAAAAUUCAACAGAUCGGUCAAUCCUACGGCCUCGAAUCUGCCACUCUUUUUUACCAGACAAUCAUUACCGUUGAAACCCUUGGAGCAAAAUGACAACCAUACCCCUCCACCUUCAACUCUGUCAGGUACCCUCUCACUCCACAUUAACUCGUUCUAAUCAUGAUUGGACCUUGAUACCUCACUUUUUGAGUCUUCUUUUUGGAUGGUCAUUUAUUAUUAUUAUGAUUAAUAAUAAAUUAAUGAGGAGGUGAAGUUAUAAUCAAAACUGAUAAUGUGAGGGGCACGUUUGUUAAUUGUUAAUUGGAGAUGUGAAGAAAAAGGUGUGUGGGUCCAUGAAAAAGUGGUGCAAAAGAAGUCACGAAAUUUCAGCUUUUUGGAGCACUUCUCUAGGCCCCGUGCCCUCUCAUAUGCCCGGACCGGACCUUCUCCCAUCAUAUGAUUCAUAUCCCUUUAUCCACAUCUCAUCUCUUACAUUCACCUGACUCCCUCCCUUGGUUCAUCACCCUUACUCUUCAUUUCUUUUUCUCCAAACAAACAAUAAUAAUAAUAAUAAUAAUAAUAGCUCUAGAGUCCCUUUUAAUUGAAACUUUUCAUUUAAAAUGACAAUUAGAAUUAAAUUUACUUUUUCAAAAAAUAAUUUUUAAUUUUAUAAUAUAAAAAGUAUCAUAAAUUUAUAAAUAAUUUCAAAAUUAUCAUAUUUCAAUAAAUAUUAAAAAAAAACGAUAUUUUUAUCAAAAUCCUUGUGAACUAUUGAAAGUAGAUGUGAUGAUGUAUGUCGAUAAUAUGAUUACAAUGAGAAACAACUUAAUCAUAUUUGAAUGAAAGCUUUAUAUAUUCGUUGUAAAAGUAAUACAAUGUUAUCAAUUUACCAUUCGGUGUUCCACGUUCCACUUAAUAAUUGAAAAUAAGCUUUAUUUGAUGAUGCUUUUCGGGGAAGUGGGGUUGGCUUGGAGGAGAUGUUGUUGUUAAUGUCUCAUAUGUGGGUGAUUGAGGGUGAUUGAUGAUUUCUCUAUGUUGUAUUUUUAAACCUUGUUCUUGCUAUUUAUUUACUUGCUACUAGGGUGUCCCAUCUCAUGCCAAUACUUUCUCAGCCUUCUUUAGUUUUUUUGCUGCUAUUUGUUUAGUAUGUUGUUCAGGUGUCCUUGUCAUGCAAGUUUUUCCUUUUUCCCUUUUCUCUCCUAUACUUUUUAAUUUGAUUAGUUGCAAAUCCUUGCUCACAUUUUGAGCACAAUUGUGUAGUUUAAAAUAUUGAAAUUGGAUUC